UGGGGAAUCUUCCGCAAUGGACGAAAGUCUGACGGAGCAACGCCGCGUGAGUGAAGAAGGUUUUCGGAUCGUAAAACUCUGUCUUUUGGGGCGAACGUGAGUAUGGUGAACAAUCAUAGUCAGUGACGGUACCAAAGGAGGAAGCCACGGCUAACUACGUGCCAGCAGCCGCGGUAAUCGUAGGUGGCAAGCGUUGUCCGGAAUUAUUGGGCGUAAAGAGCGCGUAGGCGGGAUAGUCAGUCUGUUGUAAAAGUGCGGGGCUCAACCCCGUGAUGGCAAUGGAAACAGCUAUUCUUGAGUGCAGGAGAGGAAAGUGGAAUUCCCAGUGUAGCGGUGAAAUGCGUAGAUAUUGGGAGGAACACCAGUGGCGAAGGCGACUUUCUGGACUGUGUCUGACGCUGAGGCGCGAAAGCCAGGGGAGCGAACGGGAUUAGAUACCCCGGUAGUCCUGGCCGUAAACGAUGGGUACUAGGUGUGGGGGGUAUCGACCCCUUCCGUGCCGGAGUUAACGCAAUAAGUACCCCGCCUGGGGAGUACGGUCGCAAGACUGAAACUCAAAUGAAUUGACGGGGUCAUAGCUG
This 581-nucleotide ribosomal RNA is filed under the name uncultured bacterium. Its description in RNAcentral is "partial 16S ribosomal RNA". It matches the Rfam family "Bacterial small subunit ribosomal RNA", at positions 355 to 932 of the family's 1533-position model. The record is from RNAcentral.